Exophiala oligosperma is the source of this 86-nucleotide transfer RNA. It matches the Rfam family "tRNA". Rfam says of the family: Transfer RNA (tRNA) molecules are approximately 80 nucleotides in length. Their secondary structure includes four short double-helical elements and three loops (D, anti-codon, and T loops). Lineage: Eukaryota; Fungi; Ascomycota; Eurotiomycetes; Chaetothyriales; Herpotrichiellaceae. The record is from Rfam.
UCCUCUGUGGCGCAAUUGGCUAGCGCGUCUGACUGUUAAUAUAAGCAUAUAUCAGGAGGUUGGUGGUUCGAGCCCACCCGGAGGAG